RNAcentral lists this ribosomal RNA (551 nucleotides) under uncultured Lactococcus sp. RNAcentral describes it as "bacterial SSU rRNA". It matches the Rfam family "Bacterial small subunit ribosomal RNA", at positions 40 to 618 of the family's 1533-position model. The record is from RNAcentral. Lineage: Bacteria; Bacillati; Bacillota; Bacilli; Lactobacillales; Streptococcaceae.
CGGCCGCGUCGACGCAAGUCGAACGGAGUAGAAAUACUUAGUGGCGGACGGGUGAGUAACGCGUGAGAAUCUGCCUUCAGGACGGAGACAACAGUUGGAAACGACUGCUAAGCCCCGAUGAACCGAAAGGGAAAAUAUUUAUAGCCUGAAGAUGAGCUCGCGUCCGAUUAGCUAGUUGGCGGAGUAAAAGCCCACCAAGGCAAUGAUACGUAGCCGAACUGAGAGGUUGAUCGGCCACAUUGGGACUGAGACACGGCCCAAACUCCUACGGGAGGCAGCAGUAGGGAAUCUUCCACAAUGGACGCAAGUCUGAUGGAGCAACGCCGCGUGAGUGAAGAAGGCUUUCGGGUCGUAAAACUCUGUUGUUGGAGAAGAAUGGUCGGCAGAGUAACUAUUGUCGGCGUGACGGUAUCCAACCAGAAAGCCACGGCUAACUACGUGCCAGCAGCCGCGGUAAUACGUAGGUGGCAAGCGUUAUCCGGAUUUAUUGGGCGUAAAGCGAGCGCAGGCGGUUUUUAAGUCUGAUGUGAAAGCCCUCGGCUUAACCGAGG